This is a long non-coding RNA of Vicia villosa (hairy vetch), 594 nucleotides long. RefSeq lists it as uncharacterized. NCBI's taxonomy places the organism in Eukaryota, Viridiplantae, Streptophyta, Magnoliopsida, Fabales, Fabaceae. The transcript has 3 exons. The record is from RefSeq and is a predicted model, not a curated record.
UUUAAAUGUGAAUCUAAUAUCUAUCUUGAUUUGUAUGAGUUUUAUGAUUUUCUUUACAAGUUUCUCUUUUGGAGGCUCACACAAAGAUAUUUGUUUAUGCAGUUGGAAAGGGCUUAUUAUGAUGGACUGCUCAAUCGCCUCCGUAAACACGCAUUAACACCGCGUAACUCUAACCAAACUAUUAGAAAAUUUAUAGGCUGAAAAGUUUUUGUCAGGUUCUAUUUAGCUGCAUAAUUCUAACUUGGAUUAUUGCAUGGUACAUGUUUGUAUUUUUGCUUCAACGAGUCUCUUGCAGGAAAAUUAUACCCUGUCCAUCUACUAAUCCGGGUUGCAUAUCUAUAAAUCCAAAGUCAUUGUCUCCAUACAAAUCCUGUGUUUUUGGGACCAAUAACAGUCAAUUCUUGCAGGGAGUAGCUGUCUUUGUAAUAAUCUAAUAAAAUGAAAGUGAUUCAAUGGGUAGCAAGAACGAAGUUGGUCAGAAAAUGGACAAAGAGUUAUACCAAUCUACUCGCACCUGGCAGAAAAAGAGUUAAAAGCGGACAACUCAAAGUUGGGAAGGGUUGCUCUUUCAGCUGCAAUCAUUAACGAUGUUCU